UUCCAGCUCCGCCAGUGUAUAUCUAUGCUGCUGCGGUUAAAAAGCUCGUAGUUGGAUCUUCGUGCCAGAAACUGGUCCACCUAUGUGGUGUGCACUGGCUUUCGGCACUGAACCGUCGGUUCAUCUCUUGAUGCCUUUAACCGGGUGUCCUGAGUGGCUGACAUGUUUACUUUGAAAAAAUUAGAGUGCUCAAAACAAGCGUCUCGCUUGAAUAUUCGUGCAUGGAAUAAUAGAAUAGGCCCUUGGUUCUAUUUUGUUGGUUUUCGGAGCACAAGGGAAUGAUUAAGAGGGACAGACGGGGGCAUUCGUACUCCGACGUUAGAGGUGAAAUUCUUGGAUCGUCGGAUGACGCACUACUGCGAAAGCAUUUGCCAAGAAUGUUUUCAUUAAUCAAGAACGAAAGUUAGAGGUUCGAAGGCGAUCAGAUACCGCCCUAGUUCUAACCGUAAACGAUGCGAACUAGCGAUCUGCUGAUGUUUACUCAGACUCAGCAGGGAGCUUUCCGGAAACGAAAGUUUUCAGGUUCCGGGGGAAGUAUGGUUGCAAAGCUGAAACUUAAAGGAAUUGACGGAAGGGCACCACCAGGAGUGGAGCCUGCGGCUUAAUUUGACUCAACACGGGAAAACUCACCCGGCCCGGACACCGUAAGGAUUGACAGAUUGAGAGCUCUUUCUUGAUUCGGUGGGUGGUGGUGCAUGGCCGUUCUUAGUUGGUGGAUUGAUUUGUCUGGUUUAUUCCGAUAACGAACGAGACUCCAAUCUACUAAAUAGUGGACGAAUCUUUACGUUCGAUUCACUUCUUAGAGGGACAAGCAGUGUUUAGCUGCAUGAGAAGGAGCAAUAACAGGUCUGUGAUGCCCUUAGAUGUCCGGGGCUGCACGCGCGCUACACUGAAGGAAUCAGCGUGCUAGAAAACCUUGUUUGACAUGGCUAGGUAACCCCUUGAAAAUCCUUCGUGAUUGGGAUCGGGACUUGCAAAUGUGUCCCUUGAACGAGGAAUUCCCAGUAAGUGCGGGUCAUCAGCUCGCGUUGAUUACGUCCCUGCCCUU
RNAcentral lists this ribosomal RNA (1048 nucleotides) under uncultured eukaryote. RNAcentral describes it as "SSU rRNA". It matches the Rfam family "Eukaryotic small subunit ribosomal RNA", at positions 583 to 1660 of the family's 1831-position model. The record is from RNAcentral.